GAUGAACGCUAGCUACAGGCUUAACACAUGCAAGUCGAGGGGAAACGAUAGAGAAAGCUUGCUUUUUCUAGGCGUCGACCGGCGCACGGGUGAGUAACGCGUAUCCAACCUGCCCAUCACUUGGGGAUAACCUUGCGAAAGUAAGACUAAUACCCAAUGACGUCUCUAGAAGACAUCUGAAAGGGAUUAAAGAUUUAUCGGUGAUGGAUGGGGAUGCGUCUGAUUAGCUUGUUGGCGGGGUAACGGCCCACCAAGGCGACGAUCAGUAGGGGUUCUGAGAGGAAGGUCCCCCACAUUGGGACUGAGACACGGUCCAAACUCCUACGGGAGGCAGCAGUGAGGAAUAUUGGUCAAUGGACGAGAGUCUGAACCAGCCAAGUAGCGUGCAGGAUGACGGCCCUAUGGGUUGUAAACUGCUUUUAUAAGGGAAUAAAGUGAGAGUCGUGACUCUUUUUGCAUGUACCUUAUGAAUAAGGACCGGCUAAUUCCGUGCCAGCCGCCGCAGUAA
Molecule: ribosomal RNA, 508 nt
Filed under: uncultured bacterium
Lineage: Bacteria
Description: partial 16S ribosomal RNA
Rfam family: Bacterial small subunit ribosomal RNA
Source: RNAcentral